UGCAGAAGGAUUGGGGCCUGAACUUCUCGAGAGUUUGGUUAAGAUGGCUCCAACAAAGGAAGAAGAGAUAAAACUAAGAGAUUACAAUGGGGAUACUUCAAAAUUAGGGUCAGCAGAACGAUUCCUCAAGGCUAUUCUUGAUAUUCCAUUUGCCUUCAAAAGAGUAGAAGCCAUGCUAUAUAGAGCAAAUUUUGAUGCUGAAGUAAAGGAUUUGAGGAAGUCUUUUCAGACACUUGAGGAAGCAAGUCAAGAACUGAAGAACAGCAGACUAUUCUUCAAACUCCUUGAAGCUGUUCUGAGAGCAGGAAACCGCAUGAAUGUUGGCACUAAUCGUGGUGAUGCAAGAGCUUUCAAACUGGAAACUCUUUUGAAAUUAAUAGAUAUUAA
This 387-nucleotide unclassified non-coding RNA is filed under the name Hevea brasiliensis (rubber tree). Lineage: Eukaryota; Viridiplantae; Streptophyta; Magnoliopsida; Malpighiales; Euphorbiaceae. The record is from RNAcentral.